GUAAUAGUUAAUUUGUUUUUAUUAAUAAAAUUACUUUAAAUUUUUUAAGUGAAAUUUUAAAUUUAAUUAAUUUUAUAUAAAAGAGUUGAUGAAGCUAAAAAAUUUUAAUAAUAAACUAGGAUUAGAUACCCUAUUAUUUAAAAAGUAAAGUUAAAUACUUGAGUAGUAAUAGAUAUGAUCUUCAAACUUAAAGAAUUUGGCGGUGUUUUAGUCUAUUUAGAGGAACCUGUCCUGUAAUCGAUAAUCCACGUUGGACCUUACUAAAAUUUGUUGUCAAUUUGUAUAUCGCCGUUAUCAGAAUAUCUUAAAAGAGGAAUAAUUUUCUUAAUUUAUUAUUAUAAUUGAUGUCAGGUCAAGGUGCAGUUUAUAUUUUAGUAGAGAUGGGUUACAAUAAAUUUAUUUAAACGUUAAAUUAUUUGAAAUAAUGAUUUUAAGGUGGAUUUAAAAGUAAAAUAAUGAAUAUAAUUUAUUUGAUUAUAGCUCUAAAACAUGCACACAUCG
RNAcentral lists this ribosomal RNA (501 nucleotides) under Simulium negativum. RNAcentral's name for it is "partial 12S ribosomal RNA". Lineage: Eukaryota; Metazoa; Arthropoda; Insecta; Diptera; Simuliidae. The record is from RNAcentral.